This 76-nucleotide transfer RNA is filed under the name Nanobdellota archaeon. RNAcentral's name for it is "tRNA-Asn". It matches the Rfam family "tRNA". Rfam says of the family: Transfer RNA (tRNA) molecules are approximately 80 nucleotides in length. The record is from RNAcentral. Lineage: Archaea; Nanobdellati; Nanobdellota.
GGCCGAGUAGCACAGUAGGUAGUGCGCUUGACUGUUAAUCAAGAGGUCGUAGGUUCGAGUCCUGCCUCGGCCGCCA